CAGUAGCCGCGGUAAUACGAAGGGGGCUAGCGUUGCUCGGAAUUACUGGGCGUAAAGGGAGCGUAGGCGGAUUGUUUAGUUAGGCGUGAAAUUCCUGGGCUUAACCUAGGGACUGCGCUUAAUACAGGCAGUCUAGAGUGAGGAAGAGGGUUGUGGAAUUCCCAGUGUAGAGGUGAAAUUCGUAGAUAUUGGGAAGAACACCGGUGGCGAAGGCGGCAACCUGGUCCUUGACUGACGCUGAGGCGCGAAAGCGUGGGGAGCAAACAGGAUUAGAUACCCCUGUAGUCCCUGUCUCUUAUAC
RNAcentral lists this ribosomal RNA (301 nucleotides) under uncultured bacterium. RNAcentral's name for it is "partial 16S ribosomal RNA". It matches the Rfam family "Bacterial small subunit ribosomal RNA", at positions 509 to 807 of the family's 1533-position model. The record is from RNAcentral.